UAUUUAUUGAUGUAAAACAGAUGGUGGUAUUCAAAACUAGCUAGCUUUGAAUGAGGGUUGUCUUUCAUAUUAUCAAAUCAAGAAACAUUGAAGUCCUUCAAAGCUUUCCUUGUGGAUCCAGCUUAUGAAAUCUAGGGUUAAACUCUUAAUUGCUCUUUAUGCAUGUUAACCCUAUGUAUAGGCACUACUCUUUCUUUGUAAACCGGUUUUGAAGGGUCAUUUUACUCAUAUAGUAGAAAUAUAUCCUAUGUGUAUAUAUUUAUGGAGGUGGAACAUCCUAAUAUAACUUGAAUUUCACAUGUUAAACGAUCCAAUUAUAGAGGAAGCCAGACUCACAUGCAUGUAAUGAAGGAAUAAUAAGGUUGGUAGCUCAUCAAUAUGUGGUACUGGAUUCGAUCAUGCAUAAUCCAUGUCAUAAUGCCACGCAAUACAAUUGAUUUACAUGCAUAAUGUCUCAGUUCUAACUACUGCAUGUGAGAUGUUGAAAGAUAAUAACAAAGAAUCUGACACUAGAUAUCAUAAACUCUCUCCCAUCAAAUCCUAAAGAUCCGGAGAUUCGGACUCUUAAAAUUUGAUCCAACGGCUACAAGUAUUAUAACUUUUAGAGAGGCCCCCUGUUUGUAACCGUUUGAUCAAAUUUCAAGGGUCCGGAUCUCCAGAUCCUUAGGAUCUGGUGGGAGAGAGCCGGAGAGGAUCUCUUCCCAUCAUAAACAUCUCAAAGAGAACGGUCAGUCAGUGAGAAGUGGAAGUAGUGACUAGUAGGUGCAUGCUAUAACAACAUCUGUGGUCUGCUUACUGUCCAUAUUCCUGGUCCUUCCUCCCUCAAUUCUUACUAUAUAUCUUCGGAAAUUACAGAAAGACAAAUGGAAGUGGCCACUUUGCUUAAUUAUUAGCUUCCUUGCUCUUUUUUGCUUAUUUUACUUGCCCUUUUAUGAUUCUCAUCCAUUAUUCAUAUAUAAUCUUUACUUAAUUAAAAGUAAUAAUAUUGCUAGUUAAACACACAAAAGUUAUCUCAUUAUUAACACACUCUCUGAUAAUCAAGAGGGUGUUUGCAGUGGGUGUCAGCUAUGUGUGUCUAAGUAGCAAAUAGAAAUAUGAAUAGCUUGAGCAACAUUUUCAACUCUUCGUUUUCUGAUUUUCACAUACAUGACGCUAGACAAGCAAAUAUUCACAUCGGUACCUAUGUAGAAUGGGAUUUUAAGUACGCGAAAAGAAGAUAGUUUUUGCUUCCAUUUUUCCUCCAUUUUUCUCUAUAUGGAAGUUGUCCAGGACAACUUUCCAGACUUGGCCCAUGAUGAAGGUGUGGGUAAAAACAUCCAUGAAAUAAUUAUUGCAGAAUACUGAACACAGGUACGUGAAGAAAGCUUUGGUGCUUGGAAGAAAAUAUGAUUGGUGAUAAAAAGAUCAAACUAGCCUGGCCUUAACAAAAAUAAGCACUUUCGAAAGCAUUCUUUUCGAGGAUAAGAAGGUAGUCUCGUAGAAAUAAGAAAUGUUUUGGGUGCUAUUCAUUUUAGGUGAGGGAAGUUUUGUUUGUAAGAAAAAAUUACCAACAAAUUUCCCUUUGGUGCCCAUCAUAAUUAGCUUUCAGUUCUUCGCUUUUUUUAGUCUUCUUCUUGCAAUCUCAAUCUUUGAUUCUCAAGCACAAACUCUUAGUUCUUUUGGUGGUACGGGUCAAAGCAAAACAAAUUAAGAAUUUUGGUCCGUCACAUAUCAAUGAUUUGAACUACUAUAGCACCUGGCUGGCUAGGUCGAUCGAGCCAUGCACUAUGAAAAUUGUUAGGUUAAGUCUGAAAUCACCAACCUUUAUUUGUGACAGUAAGUAUUGUUGGAAAUUUGAGUAGUUUGAGUAGAAAUUUCUUUGUCCCACAUUGGCUAUUCACAAAAGAUUUUAUCACUUUAUAAGACUUUGUCCUUUAUAGAAAGUGAUUAGAGUAAAUAGGCAUGGAGAAUAAAAUUGGGCUCACCUUUGGGGUUGGGCUUUGAGGUGCGGUGCACUAAUUAAUUGGUAAUUAAUUAUAAUUAAUAUAUAAUUAAUAUUUUCAGAUGGGCCUUGGGUUUAAUUAAUUAUUUUCAUAUUUAAUUUUUUUUACCAACAGACUCAUCCUAUCAGAUGAAGUCUGAAGAGUUCAGAAAGAACAUAGAGCAAAGCACCCAUCUGGAGAAGAUGUCUCCCAAUAGACACAUCUCAUUCUCAUACCUGUUGCGAACAUGCAUCCUUCUAUUAUAUAUACAUCUAUCUGCAUGGCAUUUAGGACACAGAAAAUCAAUAUUAUUCUUCUACAAUCACAAACAUCCUUUCUGAGAGAACCACACAGAAAUUCGCCAGAAGUUAAGUUUUUCGAUGCUGGAAUUCUAACUUGAUCGUUGAAUCCUAGUGAAGCAGACGUCUGUAGAACUACAAGCACUGAGUAUGGACGAAAUUUCUGUUUCAAGGACAUUGCGGUACGCAAGCCUCGAUCUUCAAUUUUUCUAUUUAAAUUUAUUUCCUAGUUCAUACUCUGUUCAAUAAUUUUUAUAUUUGCGUUUAUAGUUUAUUAGCAUAUAUAUAAAUAAAUCACAGAUUGUUGACAUAUAUCCAACAAGUAUACAGAAAUAACGUUAACAUUGUAAAUUACCAAUUCAUAAAUAAAAAGUGCCCAAGUCAGACCACAACGGGUAUCUUGGUGUUAUGGUGGUAUGGUCUAGAGCACUCUACAUAUAUUCACAAGAUAAAGUUCUAGACCAUCUUUCGUUAACUUUUCUUAACUGAAAUUUCAACAAGUAUAUUCAAAUGUUAUUACAACUUCAAAAUAACUCUUGCAUUACUCAUUUUAUUUUUAUACUUUAUCUCUAUAUGUAAAGCCAACAGCCUAAUUUGAUGAAACAUUCAAAUAUCUCUAAAAUUUCUUCACUUGUAAAGAAGAACAACAGACAACUACCCAAAUAAAAUAAGGCAAAAUCGUACAAUUCACAAAUUUUCAAAAAGUUAGAAAAAGAAAAGAAUUCAAACACGGACGAGAGAAACUCCACCACGUUUGAUGCAAAACAAUUCCUCUCCGACCAACUGCUUCUUCCGUUUUUCAAAUCUCAACUAUCGUUCCGUAGUGUCCCUCAAGCAAUUUCUCUCGUCGAUACUUUUACCUUCCCACUCCAUCUCACCUCUCUCCUUUAUAGUAGCUAACUAGUAAUUCUCCACUUAACUGCCUAAUCUUUUAAUUGCUAUAAAAUGUUGUCUUUCGAGCAUUCUAAAUAGGGAGACCUUGGAUGUAGUACCUAACCACUAAUACUCAUUGAAUAAAACAUUAGUGGUUUUUAAUUUUUGAUCAAGGUCAUUUGACUUUGUACACCUUAACAUAUUAAUAUUAAUAUAUUUCCAUGUCAACAAUAAAAAUUUGAGAUUUUAUGGUAUUUAAAAUCUCACAUC
RNAcentral lists this long non-coding RNA (3403 nucleotides) under Malus domestica (apple). RNAcentral's name for it is "long non-coding RNA (MDOM_LNC001864)". The record is from RNAcentral. Lineage: Eukaryota; Viridiplantae; Streptophyta; Magnoliopsida; Rosales; Rosaceae.